GGGAGAUGGCUCAAUGGUUAAGAGCACUGGCUGCUCUUCCAGAGGACCAGGGUUCAAUUCCCAGCACCCA
Molecule: transfer RNA, 70 nt
Filed under: Neotoma lepida (desert woodrat)
Lineage: Eukaryota; Metazoa; Chordata; Mammalia; Rodentia; Cricetidae
Rfam family: tRNA
About the family: Transfer RNA (tRNA) molecules are approximately 80 nucleotides in length. Their secondary structure includes four short double-helical elements and three loops (D, anti-codon, and T loops).
Source: Rfam by way of RNAcentral